Molecule: ribosomal RNA, 426 nt
Filed under: Kintaqa schwendingeri
Lineage: Eukaryota; Metazoa; Arthropoda; Arachnida; Araneae; Pholcidae
Description: partial 16S ribosomal RNA
Rfam family: Bacterial large subunit ribosomal RNA
Source: RNAcentral
UUCUUUAAGAUAUUAUUUAAAGUAAAACCUGCUCAAUGAAAAUAAUAAAUAGCCGCAGUUUUACUGUGCUAAGGUAGCAUAAUCACUUGCUUUUUAAUUAAAAGAUAGUAUGAAUGGUUAAACAUUUAAAAUUUGUCUCUAUACUCAUAAUAAAAUUAAUGUAAAAGUAAAAAUACUCUUAACCAAAAGUAAGACGACAAGACCCUGAUAAACUUAAAAAUUUAGUUGGGGAAACAUUAUAAUAAAUCUUUAUAAAAAUAAAAACACACCUUACAAAAUUAAAAAAUGGACAGUUACUACAGGGAUAACAGCGCAAUUCUUUUCAAGAGAUCUAAUCCAAAAAAGAGCUUACGACCUCGAUGUUGAAUUAAUAUACCUAAACAGCGCAACAGCUUUAUUAAGGUAGUCUGUUCGACUAUUAAAAUU